Molecule: ribosomal RNA, 382 nt
Filed under: uncultured eukaryote
Lineage: Eukaryota
Description: partial 18S ribosomal RNA
Rfam family: Eukaryotic small subunit ribosomal RNA
Source: RNAcentral
UGUAAGCGUAUACCAAAGUUGUUGCAGUUAAAACGCUCGUAGUCGGAAUUUGGCAGUUCCGGAUGUGUGCACGUCGUGUGCGCACUUCGCGGGGAUUGCUUUUGUGGUCUUGCGUAGGAUGAGGCACUUUUAUUAGUGAACGUCCUCACGCAACCACUUUUUACUGUGAGAAAAUCAGAGUGCUCAAAGCAGGCAUUUGCCGUGAAUGUAUUAGCAUGGAAUAAUAGAAUAGGACUUGGUUCUAUUUUGUUGGUUUGUUGGGACUGAGUAAUGAUUAAGAGGGACAGUUGGGGGCAUUUGUAUUUCGGUGCUAGAGGUGAAAUUCUUAGAUUACCGAAAGACAAACUGCUGCGAAAGCGUCUGCCAAGGAUGAUUUCAUUGA